Panicum virgatum (switchgrass) is the source of this 1090-nucleotide long non-coding RNA. RefSeq lists it as uncharacterized. The transcript has 2 exons. The record is from RefSeq and is a predicted model, not a curated record. Lineage: Eukaryota; Viridiplantae; Streptophyta; Magnoliopsida; Poales; Poaceae.
ACCAUGAUGCGCACAUUUCUCUGUUUUAGCAUUCUGCCUUUAUAGUAGUUCGAUUAUAUUACAAUUAGGAUUCAUUCAUAAUUAGUACUUAUUAAAAUGUUUUUUUUCUCUUAUAGGUUAUUUGUGGCAGUACCUAAUCAGUUGAAGAUCCAAACUGGCACAUUCUGAUUGCCACUACACCCGUUGCAAAGGUUUUCUGAUGUAGCACUUGCUGGAGCAUAUGUACUGUGUAGUUGCCAAGCUUAUUAUUUAAUAUCUAAGAGUACUAACAUUUAGCUUUACGUUCUGCAUAGGUGUUCCCAAUAAUAUCCCUACAAGGCAGAUAUACUAUCUAUUAUUAUCUAUAAGAAUCAUUUCAAUGAAUAAAACAAGGAAGUGAGGAAGAAAUAAAUUUGAUCUUUUUUUUUGAAACUUUCUUAUCGAAGAGAAAUUCUGAACUCUAUAAUGUGAGAUGACAGGAUCUAUACAUGUGGCUAUUACAUUGUUUUUUUGGUUUCUGCAUAUUUUUUCCAUGCAUGUGAUGUUAGUUCCAGUUAAAUAUUGUGCAUAGACUUAUUCAGUUUCUUAUUUGUCUACAAUGCGUCAAACAAUGAGCUCGUGAGGACUCAGACCAUUGUGAAGAGCGCCAUUGUACAAGUUGAUACUGCCCCAUUCAAGCAGUGGUACCUAACACACUAUGGAGUGGACAUCGGUAGGAAGAAGAAGGCACCUGCCGCCAAGAAGGAUGCUCCUUAGAGGGCGAGGCUGCAGCUGAGGAAGCAAAGAAGAGCAACCACGUCCAGAGGAAGCUUGAGAAGCAUCAGCAGGGACGCACACUUGACCCCCACAUUGAAGAGCUGGUGGCGUGCAUUUCUUCCCGCCCUGGGAAGUGUGGCAGAGCUGGUGGGUAUGUAAUAUCAGAAUUCCGUUUGUCUUUCUUAGAACUUUUACCUGUCUGUAUACUCGACAUCAAUAUUGCAGCAUAAAAAGGAAUGUUUGUUUGUAGCAUAUUAGAGAAGUAUCUCCCAAUUGAUUUACCUGAGAACAAGUUUGCACUUUAAAUCCAUUGCAAACCCAUCACGGUUUGAAGAGACUACCAGAUUUUAAAUUU